UGCCCGGUCGCCAAGUGGUAAGGCACAUGGUUUUGGGCCAUGCAUUUCGGGGGUUCGAAUCCCUCCCGGGCAACAA
This 76-nucleotide transfer RNA is filed under the name Candidatus Moraniibacteriota bacterium. RNAcentral's name for it is "tRNA-Gln". It matches the Rfam family "tRNA". From Rfam's summary of the family: Transfer RNA (tRNA) molecules are approximately 80 nucleotides in length. Their secondary structure includes four short double-helical elements and three loops (D, anti-codon, and T loops). Lineage: Bacteria; Candidatus Moraniibacteriota. The record is from RNAcentral.